GACGUAGGAGGCGAGCGUUGUCCGGAUUCAUUGGGCGUAAAGAGCACGCAGGCGGUUUGGCAAGUCGGAUGUGAAAACCCGAAGCUCAACUUCGCGCGUGCAUCCGAAACUGCCCGACUAGAGGUAGGUAGGGGAGAUCGGAAUUCCUGGUGUAGCGGUGAAAUGCGCAGAUAUCAGGAGGAACACCGGUGGCGAAGGCGGAUCUCUGGGCCUUACCUGACGCUCAGGUGCGAAAGCUAGGGGAGCGAACAGG
This 253-nucleotide ribosomal RNA is filed under the name uncultured bacterium. RNAcentral's name for it is "partial 16S ribosomal RNA". It matches the Rfam family "Bacterial small subunit ribosomal RNA", at positions 524 to 776 of the family's 1533-position model. The record is from RNAcentral.